This is a long non-coding RNA of Carassius auratus (goldfish), 364 nucleotides long. RefSeq lists it as uncharacterized. Lineage: Eukaryota; Metazoa; Chordata; Actinopteri; Cypriniformes; Cyprinidae. The record is from RefSeq and is a predicted model, not a curated record. The transcript has 4 exons.
GUUUAGUGUUUUACUCUCUCCUAAUAGAAGCAGACAUGGACAGAUGAAGAUACUGCCCGCAGGAAAUUCUUAUUCUUGGGGAUCAGCUCCUGUUGCCAUUCAAGUAGCACUAUUUGAAUGUGUGAUAUGACCUAUAAAAAAUGCAUAAUACUAGGGAUUUUAAAAUCUGUCACCAGAAAGAAAGCUUUUUUUUCUGUCCUCCCAUCUCUCAACUGUUAAUCAUUAAGUCAAACACAACUCUCCCUUCCGCUAGAUGUCACUGUAACACCAGUAAACAGUUCAUUAUCAAUGUAAUCCGUGCUGCUGUUGAUGGCACAUUUAAAUGUAACUGAUAAUGCACAGCUGAAUGAAAGAAACAUUCUGU